This 267-nucleotide ribosomal RNA is filed under the name uncultured bacterium. RNAcentral describes it as "partial 16S ribosomal RNA". It matches the Rfam family "Bacterial small subunit ribosomal RNA", at positions 91 to 354 of the family's 1533-position model. The record is from RNAcentral.
CCGACCGGCGCACGGGUGAGUAACACGUAUGCAACCUGGCCGUGACAGAUGGAUAACCGGGAGAAAUCCCGCCUAAUACAACAUAAUGCCGGGAGGGGACAUCCCCUGCCGGUCAAAGGGGGCGACCCCGGUCAUGGAUGGGCAUGCGGCGCAUUAGGUAGUUGGUGGGGCAACGGCCCACCAAGCCGACGAUGCGUAGGGGUUCUGAGAGGAAGGUCCCCCACACUGGUACUGAGACACGGACCAGACUCCUACGGAAGGCAGCAG